ACUCAGUGAAAUUGAACUCGCUGUGAAGAUGCAGUGUACCCGCGGCAAGACGGAAAGACCCCGUGAACCUUUACUAUAGCUUGACACUGAACAUUGAGCCUUGAUGUGUAGGAUAGGUGGGAGGCUUUGAAGUGUGGACGCCAGUCUGCAUGGAGCCGACCUUGAAAUACCACCCUUUAAUGUUUGAUGUUCUAACGUGGACCCGUUACCCGGGUUGCGGACAGUGUCUGGUGGGUAGUUUGACUGGGGCGGUCUCCUCCUAAAGAGUAACGGAGGAGCACGAAGGUUGGCUAAUCCUGGUCGGACAUCAGGAGGUUAGUGCAAUGGCAUAAGCCAGCUUGACUGCGAGCGUGACGGCGCGAGCAGGUGCGAAAGCAGGUCAUAGUGAUCCGGUGGUUCUGAAUGGAAGGGCCAUCGCUCAACGGAUAAAAGGUACUCCGGGGAUAACAGGCUGAUACCGCCCAAGAGUUCAUAUCGACGGCGGUGUUUGGCACCUCGAUGUCGGCUCAUCACAUCCUGGGGCUGAAGUAGGUCCCAAGGGUAUGGCUGUUCGCCAUUUAAAGUGGUACGCGAGCUGGGUUUAGAACGUCGUGAGACAGUUCGGUCCCUAUCUGCCGUGGGCGCUGGAGAACUGAGGGGGGCUGCUCCUAGUACGAGAGGACCGGAGUGGACGCAUCACUGGUGUUCGGGUUGUCAUGCCAAUGGCACUGCCCGGUAGCUAAAUGCGGAAGAGAUAAGUGCUGAAAGCAUCUAAGCACGAAACUUGCCCCGAG
Molecule: ribosomal RNA, 773 nt
Filed under: Salmonella enterica
Lineage: Bacteria; Pseudomonadati; Pseudomonadota; Gammaproteobacteria; Enterobacterales; Enterobacteriaceae
Description: partial 23S ribosomal RNA
Rfam family: Bacterial large subunit ribosomal RNA
Source: RNAcentral